AAAAUAUGCAGCAUGUAAGAACAAACCGGGCUCCAAACUCUACAAGACAGGCUUCAACUUUCUUUAAUUUCUCCUUUUAGAAAUAAAAACGUCACCCGUGACUUACUGAGCGAAAACAAGCCGGGGUGGGACGCGAGGCUGUUUUAAUAACUGAAUGACAUGGGCUUUAUUAUCCCGGCUCAGAGUCUCUGUGUUCCGUUAAACAAGAGGGACCUUGGCCCAGAUCCGAGGCCCGGCUUUGGAGAGCUCGCCCAAUUACCACUCGAGGGGGGAGGUCUCCUCCGAGGCACACAUGCAGGCAAAAUGGCUACACAUGCUAACUCGCACCGUACAGGGAGGUCUGAAGGGGCACCGGCAGGUAAAGUACGGCCUGAGGGAGCUGCUGGUUCAUAGAUGCAGGUGGAGCUUCGCUGUGGUCGGGCAGACCUGGAGCAGGGUCGCAGCUCCGGCCCCUGCACGGCAACGCAACUCAGAGGCUUCAACUUCGAGCCGAAGUUUGCCGUGGAGUCCCAGCGUCCGCCUUUGCCAUUUUUCUGAUUGACGCUACGCUCGGAUCGCUCAUUUUCUCGCCACUGGAAUCGAGGUUUGUCCUCACAGGAGGAGCGACGCUUUGACAGCCGCCCACACGCACUCCUGGCUGCCAUCCCUGGCAUCCGCGACUUCCUGAUUACCAGCUGUCCCUGCUCCCCUCUGUCCGUCAGAACCCGGUAACUGAGAAAUAAACAAACAGUAAACAAGGGGCCCAGUUUAGCACCGGCCGCGUCAGCAGCUUUUGUCACCUUUUGCUGCGCGCUAACUGGCUAAUUUAGCCUUUUUCUUUCUUAAAGACAACUCAAACGACUGAAGUGCAGAUUGAAACGGAGGGAGUUUGAUUCUCAGCCUGCAGCUCUGCCAAACAUGGAGGCUAAGUGUCUGAUUCUGCCCCCCCCUUCUGUCUCUCUCUUAUUUCUCAAUCUGCAGACAUGGGAGACAAAUUCCCCCCACUUUAGACACGCCAGCCACCGAGAGGAGAACACGGGCCUAUUAAUAGGCUUCCUGCUCAUAAAAGAGAUGUGGCAGAUCAGGUUUUUUUUUGGGAGGGGGGGGGGGGGAGUUUGAUAUGUAUGUAAUACUAUAUUAGUUCAAUUGUGAUGCACCGUCGGAGGCCCCCCAUCUAUGGAAAUCCGCAUGAAAUCACUGUCUGGGCGAGGUCGUAAAUCACCGACGGCGUUGUUUAUUAUCACAGAGCGGUUUUAUGGCGGGCGGCCACUUUGCUGGGACGUCCUGGGGAGGAAUGCCCAGCAGAGGACCUGCUGGGUAAUGACCCCUUUACUUCUGCGAGGAUGAGGGGGGGUUGAUGGGAGUUCAGUGAAGAUCGUGCCUCUUACACGUACCAGGCUAUAUAUGUAAUUCAAUCAAGCACCGUGCACGUACGACUCAGAAAUGAUGUGAGGAUCUCAGUUUUCUUCCACUUUAACUUCCAUAUAUUGGAUUUAAAUAUCGGUUUAAUUGAUUUAAGGGCUUUUGGGGCAUCAGAUGAGACGCUAAGGUCAGACUCUGGGACAUUCGUGAUGUUUCUACCC
Molecule: long non-coding RNA, 1562 nt
Filed under: Takifugu rubripes (torafugu)
Lineage: Eukaryota; Metazoa; Chordata; Actinopteri; Tetraodontiformes; Tetraodontidae
Description: lncRNA (ENSTRUG00000026375.1)
Source: RNAcentral